This 1153-nucleotide long non-coding RNA is filed under the name Struthio camelus australis. Its description in RNAcentral is "lncRNA (ENSSCUG00000007915.1)". Lineage: Eukaryota; Metazoa; Chordata; Aves; Struthioniformes; Struthionidae. The record is from RNAcentral.
AACACCUAUACACGCACUGAUCGGGGCGCCAUCCUUUCUGUGCACCCUGUGGUUUCAUGUGUGUAGCAUUGCCUGUGUAUAGGCAUGCACUCCCUGCUGCUGUUUCAGCCCAGAAACCAGCACUGUGCUCGAGCAGCAUUCGCCAUCCGAUUGUGGAAGAAGGCAGUGCAUCACCUGAGAGUAGGGGCAGUCCCUCCUGUCUGGAGAGGUGUAUGCAUUUGCCUAGGGUCCAAAUGUUCUUGCUUGGUGCUUGCAAAGGAGACCUAUAGUCUUAUCCAUGUUUCUGUGUGGGGGCAAUUAAACUGGCUGGAUUAAUUGCUCACAGUCACAGGGAGAGCUAGUAGAAGCAGCAUUACCCCUUUUGGCUGCAGCAGAGACUGGUGGAGUUGGCAAGACGAAGCUCUCUACCAAUGCAUAAGCCCUCCCCGCCCCAAUUUUCUCCUUACCCCAGCCUGUGUCCCCUGGCCCAGGGCUGGCUGCCCCCCCUGCCAGCGGAGUGCUGAAGACAGCUUUUCAGAGGAGUGUUCAUGUGCCAGGCUGUUUCUGGGGUGAGCUGCAGAUGGGAUUUCUACAGGUGGGUCAUGGCUGUCACUGAGUGUGCUGAUGUGAAGGUCCAGGAUAAAGUCCCUCAAAUAAGUUGCUUAGGCGUAAACACCAUUGAGAAUAUGUUAUAUUUUCCUCUUUUCCAAUAAGGAUGGAGAGUUGGAAACCAGCCUGCUUCUGGGGUCAGUCCAGCCUGCGUCAAGGACGUGGACUUGGGCUGGCGGCUCUAACUGAAGCCAAAGCGGGGAUGGAGCAUCUAGUGUCAACCUGCUGUCGUGCUGGGAGCAGAGCUUACGGCCACUGUCCAAGGAAGGAGAGCUGGAUGCAAAUCCUGGGGAGAAACCAUAAGACACCUCGGGGCACCUUUCUCUUCUCCCUCAUCUUCGGCUGUGCAGGAUUUGGUGCACCUUCGUGGAUCAAGUACCAGCACGCAGUAGACCCUUGAAAUCUUCUGCAAAUUUCCCUGCAGCGUUUGUCGUUGGCCAGCGCCACGUUGCCGCCUUGGGUGAGCCACGGUAACUGCCCUUUGCUAGGGCCUGGUUCUGAAGGAGGAGCGGAGAUAACGUUUUAACCGGCAAAAGCAGAUGAAAAAGGUGAUAAAGGAAUAACG